Molecule: long non-coding RNA, 402 nt
Organism: Mus caroli (Ryukyu mouse)
Lineage: Eukaryota; Metazoa; Chordata; Mammalia; Rodentia; Muridae
Source: RefSeq, a predicted model, not a curated record
CCUAUGAUCCUGUGAUCCUGGGUGUGCCAGAGAGCCUGGGAAUGGAGUCUCCUCUGGGGAUUGUGGGACUGGCUGCCAUGUUUGGGCUCAAGUUGAUUUCUUAAGAACAGCUUACAGAGAAACUGGACAAAACAGCUACAUUUAGAAGAAAUGCAAAAGAGACAAAUGAUAUCAAUACAGUUAGGAUACAGAUGAAGAAUAGAGUCAUGGAAGGGAGCCUCCAGAAGGACAGCAGGUGUUAGACUGAUCAGUUAGCAAGUCAGUUGUAAAGGUAAAAGGGAGAGUGUCCAGAGAGAGUCACAAGGCUGAGCAUCUGGUCUGAAAGCUGACUGCAGCAGAAAGAAACUCACAGUCCCCACGUUAACAAGGAGCAAGGCUGGCUUGUUAAUUCAAAACCUUGUA